AAGAGUGCGGUGAUGAUAUCUUUUGUGGACUAGAGUUUAUGAUCUGGGCUCUUCUCCCAGGACUUGAUUACAACCCCUUGGCUGUCUGAGCACCCUU
Molecule: small nucleolar RNA, 97 nt
Organism: Rosa chinensis
Lineage: Eukaryota; Viridiplantae; Streptophyta; Magnoliopsida; Rosales; Rosaceae
Product: small nucleolar RNA Z157/R69/R10
Exons: 1
Source: RefSeq, a predicted model, not a curated record